AACUUUCAACAAUGGAUCACUUGGCUCUCACAUCGAUGAAGAACGCAGCGAAAUGCGAUAAGUAGUGUGAAUUGCAGAAUUCAGUGAAUCAUCGAAUCUUUGAACGCACCUUGCGCUUCUUGGUAUCCAUUCCAAGAAGCAUGUCUGUUUGAGUGUUAUAAAAUUCUCAAAUUAUGCCUUCAACUUUCAAUAGUUCAGGUUUAAUUUGGAUCGUGGAAGUUGCUGGCUUUCAAGUCUGCUCUUCUUAAAUAUAUUAGCAAAAGUCUGAUUUGCUUGUUUUUGGUAUGAUAAUCACUUCUACCAUUGACAUCAAUCUUUUAUUAUAAAAGGAACUCUUGCUUCUUAAUUGUCUAUUGAGACAACUUUUGAAAAUUUGACCUCAAAUCAGAUAGGACUACCCGCUGAACUUAAGCAUAUCAAUAAGCGGAGGCU
Molecule: unclassified non-coding RNA, 432 nt
Filed under: uncultured Entoloma
Lineage: Eukaryota; Fungi; Basidiomycota; Agaricomycetes; Agaricales; Entolomataceae
Description: sequence contains ITS2
Rfam family: 5.8S ribosomal RNA (bases 1-158)
Source: RNAcentral